RNAcentral lists this ribosomal RNA (481 nucleotides) under uncultured bacterium. Its description in RNAcentral is "bacterial SSU rRNA". It matches the Rfam family "Bacterial small subunit ribosomal RNA", at positions 8 to 509 of the family's 1533-position model. The record is from RNAcentral.
AGAGUUUGAGUCCUGGCUCAGGAUGAACGCUGGCGGCGUGCUUAACACAUGCAAGUCGAACGAGCGAGUUCCCUCGGGGAAUGAGCGAGUGGCGGACGGGUGAGUAACGCGUGGGUAACCUGCCUCAUACAGGGGGAUAACAGUCAGAAAUGACUGCUAAUACCGCAUAAGCGCACAGUACUGCAUGGUACAGUGUGAAAAGCUCCGGCGGUAUGAGAUGGACCCGCGUUAGAUUAGCCAGUUGCGGGGUAACGGCCCACCAAAGCGACGAUCUAUAGCCGGCCUGAGAGGGCGACCGGCCACAUUGGGACUGAGACACGGCCCAGACUCCUACGGGAGGCAGCAGUGGGGAAUAUUGCACAAUGGGGAAACCCUGAUGCAGCGACGCCGCGUGAGUGAUGAAGUAUUUCGGUAUGUAAAGCUCUAUCAGCAGGGAAGAAAAUGACGGUACCUGACUAAGAAGCCCGGCUAACUACGUGCC